Molecule: long non-coding RNA, 1143 nt
Organism: Daphnia carinata
Lineage: Eukaryota; Metazoa; Arthropoda; Branchiopoda; Diplostraca; Daphniidae
Exons: 5
Source: RefSeq, a predicted model, not a curated record
AUCAACUGUAGUGCCAGAAAUCAAACUAAUUCGUUCUCGUAGAAGUUCAAUCAAAUCAAAUGGUAAUUGUGUGGUGAACUAUCAUCAUACUUACUACUUAAUUUUAUCAUCAACUAUCCAUCAUACUUUUCUCAUGCUCGUGAAGAGUAGCUCGUCAAACCAAUAUUGCAAAGGAUGCUGGCAUGCAACCUUCUUGCCAUUUCGACUGAGCCUUUCACGUAGUGUGAUUUUGAGUUGAAGAGUGAGCCCGCAACUGAAAUUGCAAAGAAUGCUGGCCAAGAAAGAUCAUUCUUCGCAAGCUCAUCAUUGUAUGUAAGUUUGAAUGUGAUGGAAAGUGCAGCAUAUGCCUCACAACUGUGUUAAAAACGAUUGGAAACCACAAAUUCAGCAGUCUUCUCACUAUUUCUACCUGGCCAGUCACCACACUUUGACGUGAACCUCAACACCACUAUGCCUCAGACUACCAAGCCUGCCUCAUCAUCCGGAAAAUUGCUGGCCCUGCAAAUUCCCUAGUCUACGAACAGCAAGCCUAAGUAAAAAAAGGCCCUUCUUCACCUCGCCCGUCAUCGUUUCGCCGUCGCCCUGUCAUCGCUUCGCCCAUCGUCCCGUCAUCGCUUCGCCCGUCAUCGCUUCGCCCGUCACUCCGUCAUCGCUUCGCCCGUCUUCCCGUCAUCGCUUCGCCCGUCGUCCCGUCAUCGCUUCGCCUGUCAUCGCUUCGCCCGUCGCCUAGUGGUCGCCUCGUCUUCGCCUCGUGGUAUCGUUGUUAUUUUAUGUAAUGUGUAGUGUGUUAAUUAACAGGUUGGCUGCCACGCCUCUUUUUGUUCCCCUUUUUUUUUGAGCUUGAUAGGGACGGGCCGCGCUGCUCUACUCCACGGUCUGUGUGCCGUGGGGUGGAGCUGUCGCCACUGCCCAAAAUUCGCCGUAAGGCAAAAGGCAACGCACCACAGGGCCUCCCUUUUCUCGAUGUGUGGUGGAGACCAGGGGUGUGCGUUCCCACAACGGUCUCCACCAUUGCAUCAGCCCGGACCAUUGUGUCCCCCUCUGUCGCCAUCCAUCAGAUGGCGAUGUAGUUACUGUAGUGGUAGGGGCGUGGCAGCCAACCUGUUAGGUGUAUUAUGUAUUGUAUAUAUGUUGUAUAUUGUA